GUGGGGAAUCUUGCGCAAUGGGCGAAAGCCUGACGCAGCCAUGCCGCGUGAAUGAUGAAGGUCUUAGGAUUGUAAAAUUCUUUCACCGGGGACGAUAAUGACGGUACCCGGAGAAGAAGCCCCGGCUAACUUCGUGCCAGCAGCCGCGGUAAAACGAAGGGGGCUAGCGUUGCUCGGAAUUACUGGGCGUAAAGGGCGCGUAGGCGGACAGUUUAGUCAGAGGUGAAAGCCCAGGGCUCAACCUUGGAAUUGCCUUUGAUACUGGCUGUCUUGAGUUUGGGAGAGGUGAGUGGAACUCCGAGUGUAGAGGGGAAAUUCGUAGAUAUUCGGAAGAACACCAGUGGCGAAGGCGACUCACUGGCCCAAUACUGACGCUGAGGUGCGAAAGCGUGGGGAGCAAACAGGAUUAGAUACCCUAGUAGUCC
This 425-nucleotide ribosomal RNA is filed under the name uncultured bacterium. RNAcentral's name for it is "partial 16S ribosomal RNA". It matches the Rfam family "Bacterial small subunit ribosomal RNA", at positions 354 to 796 of the family's 1533-position model. The record is from RNAcentral.